UACGUAGGGUGCAAGCGUUGUCCGGAAUUAUUGGGCGUAAAGAGCUCGUAGGCGGUUUGUUGCGUCGGCUGUGAAAUCCCGAGGCUCAAUCUCGGGUCUGCAGUCGAUACGAGCAAACUAGAGUGUUGCAGGGGAGACUGGAAUUCCUGGUGUAGCGGUGAAAUGCGCAGAUAUCAGGAGGAACACCGAUGGCGAAGGCAGGUCUCUGGGCAUUAACUGACGCUGAGGAGCGAAAGCAUGGGGAGCGAACAGG
This 253-nucleotide ribosomal RNA is filed under the name uncultured bacterium. RNAcentral describes it as "partial 16S ribosomal RNA". It matches the Rfam family "Bacterial small subunit ribosomal RNA", at positions 524 to 776 of the family's 1533-position model. The record is from RNAcentral.